RNAcentral lists this long non-coding RNA (380 nucleotides) under Musa acuminata (dwarf banana). RNAcentral describes it as "long non-coding RNA (MACU_LNC008359)". Lineage: Eukaryota; Viridiplantae; Streptophyta; Magnoliopsida; Zingiberales; Musaceae. The record is from RNAcentral.
AAAAACCCUUCGGCAAGCUCCCUACUCAUUUUCGGCUAGUUCCGGCAGCAUUCCCGACGAGCCUUCGGACUUCCAUAGAACUCUCGAACUCCCAACGAAUCCUUCGUGCUUGACUCCGACACUUUGUUUCGCUUCAUGUCUUCAUCGUUAUCGUAGUUAAUCCUGCACACACAAGCCAAAACUCUACUCCGAUCUAGACAAUUAUUACAAUGCGAAUUGACAUUCUGUUGCCCGGCACGUCAUUGGUUGGCGCUUCGUCCGAUUCUUCGGUGCAUCGUCCUCUCUUGCGGCUUGUUGCCCAAUCGGCGAUUGACCUCCGCAACCCCGAUAUCCUUGGCGCAAUUCCGCUCUCCUUGGCCCGAUGCCCGACGUCCGAAGCC